AUCAUAGUCAAAAGACGCCACGGGCUAAACAGGAGUGGUGAUGCUGAGCACAGAGAAGUAUCAAAAGUUGCAAGUGGUUCAAGCUUAGCACAUGAACCAAUUAAAAAGACUUAAAGAGGAAAAGAUACCACAUGAAAUUGAUGUAAUAUAUUUAUAUAACUAAAGAAGUUUUAAAAAAAUGAUGCACCGGUUCUCCAUACAAACUCCUAGAUCCUGAAGAACACAGCAUGCCGAGAUUCCUCAAGUCCAAGGACAAACAUUUGACACGCCCAUAAUGAUAAAUAAAUUUCUAGAUUUAGACAGGCCACCAGCUAUAAGCAAGGGUCAUGAAAGACAAAGUACAAAAAAAUUGACAGCUACGGAGCUUGAAGCAAGAUUAGAAGCCGCCCCCCUCAAAAUCAAGACCUUCCAUAGCCAUGAGCAUGCCUGGCAGUGGCACUCACCACAGCCAAGUUGUGGAAGCCCAAACGAAAGAAGCUGCGAGAGGAGACUAACUAUCAUCCUCAUCAUCGUCCUCUUCGUCAUCAUCUUGCUCACCAUCCUCAUCAUCUUCAGAUCCCUUCUGACAAAAAACAGCAUAAUUGGUCGGGCAGAGUUUAUUAGCGUGUGCAAAUAAAAAUGCUGCACAGUACACAGCAGAGAAGAAACAGAUUAAGCAAAUAAAACUAA
RNAcentral lists this long non-coding RNA (669 nucleotides) under Phoenix dactylifera (date palm). RNAcentral's name for it is "long non-coding RNA (PDAC_LNC008108)". The record is from RNAcentral. Lineage: Eukaryota; Viridiplantae; Streptophyta; Magnoliopsida; Arecales; Arecaceae.